GAGUUUGAUCCUGGCUCAGGACGAACGCUGGCGGUGCGCUUAAUGCAUGCAAGUCGAACGGGCAACGGGGCUUCGGCCCCUGCGCUAGUGGCAGACGGCUGAGUAACACGUAAGUAAUCUGCCCCGGAGAGGGGGAUAACCCGGAGAAAUCCGGUCUAAUACCCCGUAAGUUCAUGUGGUUACGGCCAUGUGAAGAAAGGCUUUUGCCGCUCUGGGAGGAGCUUGCGGCCUAUCAGGUAGUUGGCGGGGUAAUGGCCCACCAAGCCGAAGACGGGUAACCGAUGUGAGAGCAUGAUCGGUCAGAGGGGGACUGAGACACGGCCCCCCCUCUUACGGGAGGCAGCAGCAGGGAAUCUUGCGCAAUGGGCGAAAGCCUGACGCAGCGACACCGCGUGGGGGAAGAAGGCCCCAGGGUUGUAAACCCCUUUUCUGUGGGAAGAGAUAGGACGGUACCACAGGAAUAAGCAUCGGCUAACUACGUGCCAGCAGCCGCGGUAAUACGUAGGAUGCAAGCGUUGUCCGGAUUUACUGGGCGUAAAGGGUGUGUAGGCGGCAUGUUAAGUCUCAUGUGAAAUCUCCCGGCUCAACUGGGAGGGGUCAUGGGAAACUGGCAAGCUGGAGGUCAGUAGAGGA
Molecule: ribosomal RNA, 633 nt
Filed under: uncultured bacterium
Lineage: Bacteria
Description: bacterial SSU rRNA
Rfam family: Bacterial small subunit ribosomal RNA
Source: RNAcentral